Molecule: ribosomal RNA, 253 nt
Filed under: uncultured bacterium
Lineage: Bacteria
Description: partial 16S ribosomal RNA
Rfam family: Bacterial small subunit ribosomal RNA
Source: RNAcentral
UACGUAGGGGGCGAGCGUUGUCCGGAAUCAUUGGGCGUAAAGCGCGUGUAGGCGGUCCGGUAAGUCCGCUGUGAAAGUCGGGGGCUCAACCCUCGGAUGCCGGUGGAUACUGUCGGGCUUGAGUACGGAAGAGGCGAGUGGAAUUCCUGGUGUAGCGGUGAGAUGCGCAGAUAUCAGGAGGAACACCAAUUGCGAAGGCAGCUCGCUGGGACGUUACUGACGCUGAGACGCGAAAGCGUGGGGAGCAAACAGG